CUCUCUUUCACCCGCUAGCGGAUUGCUCUCUAUCGUUGCUGAUCCGCCACCUCUGCCUCUCCCCUUUUUUCGCACCUCCUCGCAAACUGCCUCUGCUUUUCCGUAACUAAGCCCUGGUGCUGCUACAUAGGCGUUUUUCCAUACCCCUAUCAGCUCGAGAAACGAGAACUGCGAAGCCCAAGAGAAACAAAAAAUGUCUGCCGAGGAGUUUGAGCGCUACACAAAGUUGGUCUCCGACCUGCGGUCGAACCUGUCGAUCCCGCAGAAGAUCGAGAUGUACGGCCUGUGGUGUGUGGCGACGCGGGGCAAGUGCACGUUGAAACAGCCGUCCCGCGCCAACGUGGUAAAGUACGGCAAGUGGGCUGCGUGGAAGAAGUACGAGCCCCUUGGUCAGCAGAAGGCCCGCGAGCUCUUUGUCGAGAAGGCAAAGGCUAUCGUAGCCAAGUACCCAUCCAGGUUGUGAUGGCAUGACCACGGCGGGGAAACGCCUGGGCGUGCGACCGAGAAUGGCCCUCCCCUCGCCUCUUUCUCGCCUUCCCUCUCUUUGCCUGCAG
This 554-nucleotide unclassified non-coding RNA is filed under the name Leishmania donovani. Its description in RNAcentral is "gene:LdHU3.34.4000(CDS-product:acyl-CoA_binding_p rotein_putative)". Lineage: Eukaryota; Euglenozoa; Kinetoplastea; Trypanosomatida; Trypanosomatidae. The record is from RNAcentral.